Molecule: ribosomal RNA, 786 nt
Filed under: human gut metagenome
Description: bacterial SSU rRNA
Rfam family: Bacterial small subunit ribosomal RNA
Source: RNAcentral
AGGGUUCGAUUCUGGCUCAGGAUGAACGCUGGCGGCGUGCUUAACACAUGCAAGUCGAACGGGAUCGGCUGGAGCUUGCUCCGGCCGUGAGAGUGGCGAACGGGUGAGUAAUGCGUGACCGACCUGCCCCGUACACCGGAAUAGCUCCUGGAAACGGGUGGUAAUGCCGGAUGCUCCAGUCCAUCGCAUGGUGGUCUGGGAAAGAUUUUAUCGGUAUGGGAUGGGGUCGCGUCCUAUCAGGUAGUCGGCGGGGUAACGGCCCACCGAGCCUACGACGGGUAGCCGGCCUGAGAGGGCGACCGGCCACAUUGGGACUGAGAUACGGCCCAGACUCCUACGGGAGGCAGCAGUGGGGAAUAUUGCACAAUGGGCGCAAGCCUGAUGCAGCGACGCCGCGUGCGGGAUGACGGCCUUCGGGUUGUAAACCGCUUUUGUUGGGGAGCAAGCCUUCGGGUGAGUGUACCCUUCGAAUAAGCACCGGCUAACUACGUGCCAGCAGCCGCGGUAAUACGUAGGGUGCAAGCGUUAUCCGGAAUUAUUGGGCGUAAAGAGCUCGUAGGCGGUUCGUCGCGUCCGGUGUGAAAGUCCAUCGCUUAACGGUGGAUCUGCGCCGGGUACGGGCGGGCUGGAGUGCGGUAGGGGAGACUGGAAUUCCCGGUGUAACGGUGGAAUGUGUAGAUAUCGGGAAGAACACCAAUGGCGAAGGCAGGUCUCUGGGCCGUUACUGACGCUGAGGAGCGAAAGCGUGGGGAGCGAACAGGAUUAGAUACCCUGGUAGUCCACGCC